RNAcentral lists this ribosomal RNA (253 nucleotides) under uncultured prokaryote. Its description in RNAcentral is "partial 16S ribosomal RNA". It matches the Rfam family "Bacterial small subunit ribosomal RNA", at positions 525 to 777 of the family's 1533-position model. The record is from RNAcentral.
ACGGGGGGAGCAAGCGUUGUUCGGAUUUACUGGGCGUAAAGGGCGCGUAGGCGGCCACGCGUGUCUUCCGUGAAAUCCCUCGGCUUAACUGAGGACGUGCGGAAGAAACUGCGAGGCUCGAGUCCGGGAGAGGGGGGUGGAAUUCCCAGUGUAGCGGUGAAAUGCGUAGAUAUUGGGAGGAACACCAGUGGCGAAGGCGGCUCACCGGACCGGUUCUGACGCUGAGGCGCGAAAGCGUGGGGAGCAAACGGGA